Molecule: long non-coding RNA, 1164 nt
Filed under: Apteryx haastii (Great spotted kiwi)
Lineage: Eukaryota; Metazoa; Chordata; Aves; Apterygiformes; Apterygidae
Description: lncRNA (ENSAHAG00000000639.1)
Source: RNAcentral
AUGGUGCUGUGGCUCCACGGCCCAUCACUGGCCGGGCCGGUGGCCGGGUGCUGCAGUCCGCCGGGAGCAGGGGCGAAGCCGGGGGGCUCCGAGCAUGCGCGAGAAGAAAACGUGCUCCGUUUGCUGCUUGGCGUUGCUACAACCCUUGUGCGCUCUUCUCAGCUUUUAAUGAGCAGCUUUAUGAGGCUAAUUAGCAAUGGCUCAUUAUUUAUCAUGGCUAUUACCCAGACAGAGAGCCAGGAUUAUGUUCUGGAUUUGAACAAUGGGUUCAUCCUUUGCCAAACUGCCCCAAGAGCGAAAACAACCUUCUGCUUUCAAUGCACCAGUGUUUGUAAAGCUGCGCUUGUGCGCGAGGCCUCGAUGGAUCUUCUAGCGCUCCCUCGGUUAGGACCGGGGCAGCUCCGGGGCAGGCUGGCCGGCGUGGGGCUGGGUGCGACGGAGCUGGGAGGUGCCCGCCGCAGCGGCUGGCGUCCCCGCGCAGCAGCUUGGUGCCUUCUGCUCGCUUGCUGCUUCCGUGCUGAACGCGCGGGAAAGUGUCCGACCUCCUCGUUUCGCUGCGUUCGCACGCAGCGAGCCGGGUCGCCGUGCUGGGAAGCGAGGCAGCAGGCAGGCGGAGGAGCGCUGAGGGCCAGGACCGUGCYGGCGGUUGGCAGCGAGCGUCUGCCCCAGCCAGAGCCGGGUCCCCGGGAAGCCGCCCGGCAGCGCUGGGACGGCGGCUGCGCAAGCAGCGGUCUCAUGAGCGGGCGCCCGUCUGCACGUGUUCACUCAGGCGCCCUAAUCCCAGCGCCUGGCUCGGGCGCUGCCUCCCGCGCUGCCGGACACCUCGGCUCCCUGGGCGCUGAGGGGCUGCAGCCGGCUCCGCGCCGAGGAAAUCGGCUUUCCCCGGCUGCUCUGUUCGUGCUGUUCCCUCUCUUCUUCCCCUCGGCAUCGUUUUGUAGCAGCUCAGAGAAGCUGGAGAAACAGCGUAGCCRAGGAGCUGAACACCUGGGAGCGCUGCGUCCCUCUGCAAAGCCAUGUCGUCUUCCCUGCUCCGUGAAUCCGGUCGCGGCCACGGAGGGAGCGAUGGCAACGGGCUGUGCCUCCUCCUCGAGGCGGUUUGCAAAGCCUCUUGCCUUGAAAGYGUUGCCCAAACCUCCCGCGUUGCUGCGAGCUAUCGAUGCGUGA